AUACGGAGGUGGCUAGCGUUGUUCGGAAUUACUGGGCGUAAAGGGCGCGUAGGCGGCAUGGCAAGUCAGAUGUGAAAGCCCCGGGCUUAACUUGGGAAUUGCAUCUGAAACUGUUUUGCUUGAGUCCUGGAGGGGGUAGUGGAAUUCCCAGUGUAGCGGUGAAAUGCGUAGAUAUUGGGAGGAACACCGGUGGCGAAGGCGGCUACCUGGACAGUGACUGACGCUGAGGCGCGAAAGCUAGGGGAGCGAACG
This 252-nucleotide ribosomal RNA is filed under the name uncultured prokaryote. RNAcentral's name for it is "partial 16S ribosomal RNA". It matches the Rfam family "Bacterial small subunit ribosomal RNA", at positions 523 to 774 of the family's 1533-position model. The record is from RNAcentral.